UACAGAGGGGGCAAGCGUUAUUCGGAAUUAUUGGGCGUAAAGGGCGCGUAGGCGGCCUGGCAAGUGGAAGGUGAAAUCCCUCGGCUUAACCGAGGAACUGCCCUCCAAACUGCUUGGCUUGAGUCCGGGAGAGGCGAGUGGAAUUCCCGGUGUAGCGGUGAAAUGCGCAGAUAUCGGGAGGAAUACCAAUGGCGAAGGCAGCUCGCUGGGACGUGACUGACGCUGAGACGCGAAAGCGUGGGGAGCAAACAGG
This 253-nucleotide ribosomal RNA is filed under the name uncultured bacterium. RNAcentral's name for it is "partial 16S ribosomal RNA". It matches the Rfam family "Bacterial small subunit ribosomal RNA", at positions 524 to 776 of the family's 1533-position model. The record is from RNAcentral.